GACGAACGCUGGCGGCGUGCCUAAUACAUGCAAGUCGAACGCAGUGGGGACGGGUGAGUAACUCGUGGCUAACCUCCCAUCAGAGGGGAUAACACUUGGAAACAGGUGCUAAACCGAUACUGAUGGAUGGACCCGCGGUGCAUUAGCUAGUUGGUGGGGUAACGGCUAACCAAGGCCACGAUGCAUAGCGGACCUGAUGGGGUGAUCGGCCACACUGAGACGGAGACACGGCCCAGACUCCUACGGGAGGAAGCAGGAGGGAGUCUUCGGCAAUGGGCGAAAGUCUGACCGAGCAACGCCGCGUGAGUGAAGAAGGUUUUCGGAUCGUAAAACUCUGUUGUUAGAGCAGCGGUAUCUAACCAGUAAGCCACGGCUAACUACGAGCAAGCAGCCGCGGUAAUUC
RNAcentral lists this ribosomal RNA (403 nucleotides) under uncultured bacterium. RNAcentral's name for it is "partial 16S ribosomal RNA". It matches the Rfam family "Bacterial small subunit ribosomal RNA", at positions 28 to 526 of the family's 1533-position model. The record is from RNAcentral.